UACGGAGGGUGCGAGCGUUAAUCGGAAUUACUGGGCGUAAAGGGUGCGUAGGUGGUCUGAUAAGUUAUCUGUGAAAGCCCUGGGCUCAACCUGGGAAGGCCAGAUAAGACUGUUGGACUCGAGUAUGGGAGAGGGUAGUGGAAUUUCCGGUGUAGCGGUGAAAUGCGUAGAGAUCGGAAGGAACACCAGUGGCGAAGGCGGCUACCUGGCCUGAUACUGACACUGAAUCACGAAAUCGUGGGGAGCAAACAGG
This 253-nucleotide ribosomal RNA is filed under the name uncultured bacterium. RNAcentral describes it as "partial 16S ribosomal RNA". It matches the Rfam family "Bacterial small subunit ribosomal RNA", at positions 524 to 776 of the family's 1533-position model. The record is from RNAcentral.